AGGACCAGAGAAUAUGUUCCUGGCUGGGACAGCCCGAACUGGAAGAAUGGGGAGAAAUUCUGAAUCCUUUUUUUGGUAAUAAACAGCAGCUAAGAACUUCAGGAAGACACUCUAUAGGCAAGCUGGCACCAGUGGAGAACAACCCAGAACACCAUGGGUCUGCUGUCGUGAUGAAGAUUGUGUUAUUACCAUUAUUUUGGUGAAUAUUGUACAAAGAGAGCUAACGCAUAUAGCAGCAAAGCAUGACCGGUGGACCAAGGCAUCUAGCUAACCGGAGCCAGGGCUUCCAGCUCGAGUGUCCCGUCGUUCAGUUUAUGGGAAGAAGGGGUGCCUGGGCCCUUCUUUGAAGAAAAUGGGGGAGUGUUGAGGAUAGAUACGCGUUGCAGCUGCAUGAGGAAUAUGGUUGUCUGAAGGAUACCCUUUGGGUGAAGAAGUGUUAUCUCCCCCCUCCCUUCCUCUCCCAGCUACAUAAACAAGCUGAGAGUUAUGACCCUUCCUCCCUCCCCUGUGAACUGCUGAUU
Molecule: long non-coding RNA, 521 nt
Organism: Mauremys reevesii (Reeves's turtle)
Lineage: Eukaryota; Metazoa; Chordata; Testudines; Geoemydidae
Exons: 4
Source: RefSeq, a predicted model, not a curated record